CCCUUAGAUGUUCUGGGCAGCUCGCGCGCUACAAUGGUCUUCGCAAACGGAUGCAUUCUCGAAGGAGAAUGCCAAUCUUGGAAUCUAUGCCUUGGUCGGGACAGUUGCUUGCAAUUUUUCGACUCGAACCAGGAAUUCCUUGUAAUCGUGAUUCAUCACAUCACGAUGAAUACGUCCCUGCCCUUUGUACACACCGCCCGUCGCUCCUACCGAUCGAAGAGUUAGGUGAAUUGUUUUGAUCGAUAAGAUUUGACUAUGGUCAACUCUCGUUGUGAAAUUCUGUGAAUCUGACUGUUUAGAGGAAGGAAAAGUCGUAACA
This 319-nucleotide ribosomal RNA is filed under the name uncultured eukaryote. RNAcentral's name for it is "partial 18S ribosomal RNA". It matches the Rfam family "Eukaryotic small subunit ribosomal RNA", at positions 1470 to 1796 of the family's 1831-position model. The record is from RNAcentral.